GGCCGAAGAAGAUGCAUAAUAUAUGUUGGAGAAGUUAAUGUGAUAAUUACAUGGGAAAUUGCCAAAAAUAUUAUUUUCAAAGUACCACUUUUUAUGUUUACACUAACCAAUUUUACCUUCAUCUUUAAUGAAGAGUAAAAGACAUUUAUAACCUUUUGAUUAACUUUGACAAAAAAAAACAUAAGGUUAAGUAAUCUAAACUUAAAACAUCAACUCUAAACCCUAAAUCAUCAACUCUAAACCCUAAACCAUGAAACAUCAACUCUAAACCCUAAACCCCGAAACAUCAACUCUAAACCCUAAACCAUAAACCCUAAACCUUCAAAUCUAAACCCUAAAACAUCAGUUCUAAACCUAAACGUAAACCCUAGACCCUAAAUCUAAACUAAAAACAUCAACUUUAAACCCUAAAUCAUCAACUGUAAACCCUAAACCAUAAAACAUCAACUAUAAACCCUAAACCCCGAAACAUCAAUUCUAAACCCUAAACCUUCAAAUCUAAACCCUACAACAUCAAUUCUAAACCCUAAACGUAAACCCUAAACCCUAAUUAAAAAAUGUUUUGCAUUUAAGUCAAAUAAUAUAGUGAAUAAGUUAAUAUUAUGACCGAAAAGAAUUCUAAGAUGGAUUUUUGUUUCGUUGAUUGUAUGUUUUGUAUUACUAUUUAGAGAGAAAAAAUAAAUAUUUGGCAAAAUUAUGUAAAAAAUUAGGAAAACAUUAGCAAAAUUUUUAUAAAAAAAACGAAAUGAUAACGAAAAAAAUAAGAAGAGGCCGAAGAAGAUGCAUAAUAUAUGUUGGAGAAGUUAAUGUGAUAAUUACAUGGGAAAUUGCCAAAAAUAUUAUUUUCAAAGUACCACUUUUUAUGUUUACACUAACCAAUUUUACCUUCAUCUUUAAUGAAGAGUAAAAGACAUUUAUAACCUUUUGAUUAACUUUGACAAAAAAAAACAUAAGGUUAAGUAAUCUAAACUUAAAACAUCAACUCUAAACCCUAAAUCAUCAACUCUAAACCCUAAACCAUGAAACAUCAACUCUAAACCCUAAACCCCGAAACAUCAACUCUAAACCCUAAACCAUAAACCCUAAACCUUCAAAUCUAAACCCUAAAACAUCAGUUCUAAACCUAAACGUAAACCCUAGACCCUAAAUCUAAACUAAAAACAUCAACUUUAAACCCUAAAUCAUCAACUGUAAACCCUAAACCAUAAAACAUCAACUAUAAACCCUAAACCCCGAAACAUCAAUUCUAAACCCUAAACCUUCAAAUCUAAACCCUACAACAUCAAUUCUAAACCCUAAACGUAAACCCUAAACCCUAAUAUUUUUCAGAAAUUCGAACCCUAAACCCUAAAACACUAAACCUUCAAAUCUAAACCCUAAAACAUCAACUCUAAACCCUAAACGUAAACCCUAAACCCUAAAACCCUAAAACCCUAAACCUUCAAAUCUAAACCCUAAAACAUCAGCUCUAGGGUUUUAGGGUUUAGGGUUUAGGGUAUAGGAUUUAGGGCUUAGGUUUGAAGGUUUAUGGUUUAGGGUUUAGAGUUGAUAUUUUAAGGUUUAGGGUUAAUUUUUAGGGUUUAGGGUUUAGAGUUUACUUUUUAGGGUUUAGUGUUGAUAGUGUAGGGUUUAGUGUUGAUGGUUUAGGGUUUAGAGUUGAAGUUUAGGGCUUAGAGUUGAUGUUUUAGGGUUUAUAGUUGAAGGUUAAGGGUUUAGGGUUUAGAGUUGAUGUCUCGGGGUUUAGGGUUUAGAGUUGAUGUCUUGGGGUUUAGGGCUUAGAGUUCAAAA
RNAcentral lists this long non-coding RNA (1788 nucleotides) under Brassica napus (rape). RNAcentral describes it as "long non-coding RNA (BNAP_LNC010282)". The record is from RNAcentral. Lineage: Eukaryota; Viridiplantae; Streptophyta; Magnoliopsida; Brassicales; Brassicaceae.